GCGCAGCUUUUGGAUGCUUUAGGAGCAUCAGCUUCCCAAGCUGAGGGUCGCGGGUUCGACCCCCGUUUCUCGCU
RNAcentral lists this transfer RNA (74 nucleotides) under Aquipluma nitroreducens. RNAcentral's name for it is "tRNA-Gly". Lineage: Bacteria; Pseudomonadati; Bacteroidota; Bacteroidia; Marinilabiliales; Prolixibacteraceae. The record is from RNAcentral.